CCCUUAGAUGUUCUGGGCCGCACACGCGCUACACUGAAGGAGGCAGCGUGUACUCCUGGAUCGAAAGAUUUGGGUAACCCGCGAAUCUCCUUCGUGCUAGGGAUUGAGGUUUGCAAUUAUCCUUCAUGAACGAGGAAUUCCCAGUAAGUGCAAGUCAUAAGCUUGCGCUGACUUCGUCCCUGCCCUUUGUACACACCGCCCGUCGCUACUACCGAUUGAAUGAUUUAGUGAGGACUUCGGACUGGGACCGAUGCGGCUUUCGGGCUGCGUCGGUAUUCUGGAAAGAUGUCCAAACUGUAUCAUUUAGAGGAAGUAAAAGUCGUAACA
This 327-nucleotide ribosomal RNA is filed under the name uncultured eukaryote. RNAcentral describes it as "partial 18S ribosomal RNA". It matches the Rfam family "Eukaryotic small subunit ribosomal RNA", at positions 1470 to 1796 of the family's 1831-position model. The record is from RNAcentral.